This 493-nucleotide ribosomal RNA is filed under the name uncultured bacterium. RNAcentral describes it as "partial 16S ribosomal RNA". It matches the Rfam family "Bacterial small subunit ribosomal RNA", at positions 28 to 507 of the family's 1533-position model. The record is from RNAcentral.
GACGAACGCUGGCGGCGUGCUUAACACAUGCAAGUCGAACGGUGAAGGGACCGGUUUUUGCUGGUUCUGGAUGAGUGGCGAACGGGUGAGUAACACGUGAGUAACCUGCCCCCUUCUUCUGGAUAACCGCAUGAAAGUGUGGCUAAUACGGGAUAUUCUGCGCCUGCUGCAUGGUGGGUGUGGGAAAGAUAUUGUUUCGGUGGGGGAUGGGCUCGCGGCCUAUCAGCUUGUUGGUGGGGGGAUGGCCUACCAAGGCGGUGACGGGUAGCCGGGCUGAGGGGGUGGGCGGUCACACGGGGGCUGAGACACGGACAAGACUACUACGGGAGGCAGCAGGGGGGAAUAUUGCACAAUGGGCGCAAGCCUGAUGCAGCGACGCCGCGUGAGGGAUGGAGGCCUUCGGGUUGUAAACCUCUUUCGCCAGUGAAGCAGGCCUGUCCCUUUUGUGGGUGGGUUGACGGUAGCUGGAUAAGAAGCGCCGGCUAACUACGUG